This 465-nucleotide ribosomal RNA is filed under the name uncultured bacterium. RNAcentral describes it as "partial 16S ribosomal RNA". It matches the Rfam family "Bacterial small subunit ribosomal RNA", at positions 338 to 795 of the family's 1533-position model. The record is from RNAcentral.
CCUACGUGAGGCUGCAGUAGGGAAUUUUCGUCAAUGGGCGCAAGCCUGAACGAGCAAUGCCGCGUGAACGAUGAAGGUCUUCGGAUCGUAAAGUACUGUUGAAGGGGAAAAAGAGAGGAGAGAGGAAAUGGUCUCCGAGUGAUAUUACCCUUAGAGGAAGUCACGGCUAACUACGUGCAAGCAGCAGCGGUAAUAUGUAGGGGGCGAGCGUUAUCCGGAAUGAAUGGGCGUAAAGGGUGUGUAGGCGGCCUGCUAAGACUGGAGUGAAAGGUACCGGCUCAACCGGUACAGGCUCUGGAAACUGGCGGGCUAGAGGGCAGGAGAGGGCGGGGGAACGCCAUGUGUAGCGGUAAAAUGCGUAGAUAUAGGGAAGAACACCAGUGGCGAAGGCGGCCGCCUGGCCUGUUGACUGACGCUGAGGCACGAAAGCGUGGGGAGCAAAUAGGAUUAGAUACCCGAGUAGUC